RNAcentral lists this ribosomal RNA (253 nucleotides) under uncultured bacterium. RNAcentral's name for it is "partial 16S ribosomal RNA". It matches the Rfam family "Bacterial small subunit ribosomal RNA", at positions 524 to 776 of the family's 1533-position model. The record is from RNAcentral.
UACGAAGGGGGCGAGCGUUGUUCGGAUUUACUGGGCGUAAAGGGCGCGUAGGCGGCCGAUCAAGUCAGGCGUGAAAGCCCCGGGCUCAACCUGGGAAUGGCGCUUGGGACUGGUUGGCUUGAGUUCGGGAGAGGAGAGUGGAAUUCCACGUGUAGCGGUGAAAUGCGUAGAUAUCAGGAGGAACACCCAUGGCGAAGGCAGCAAACUGGUCCAUAUCUGACGCUGAGGCGCGAAAGCGUGGGUAGCAAACAGG